This 75-nucleotide transfer RNA is filed under the name candidate division WWE3 bacterium. Its description in RNAcentral is "tRNA-Val". It matches the Rfam family "tRNA". Rfam says of the family: Transfer RNA (tRNA) molecules are approximately 80 nucleotides in length. The record is from RNAcentral. Lineage: Bacteria; candidate division WWE3.
GGGUGCUUAGCUCAGGGGUAGAGUGCCUCGUUCACAUCGAGGAGGUCGCUGGUUCAAAUCCAGCAGCACCCACCA